AUACACGCAGCUAAAAGAACUUAUUGAAAUGCAGAUCCUGAUUCAAUAUGUCUAGGUAGAGGCUUUAAUUCUGUAUUUCUGAUAAGCUCCCAGGUGGUGCCUUU
RNAcentral lists this microRNA precursor (104 nucleotides) under Marmota monax (woodchuck). The record is from RNAcentral. Lineage: Eukaryota; Metazoa; Chordata; Mammalia; Rodentia; Sciuridae.